CCAAACCAUGUACAAUCAAUUGAAUUUACCACAGGUGGAAUCCAAUCAAAUUGUAGAAACAUCUCAAGGAUGACCAAUGGAAACAGGAUGCACCUGAACUCAAUUUCGAGGGGCUGAUACUUAUGUGAAUAAGUUUCCCGUGUGUAUCAAGAACGAUCCACCACCCAAAGGACAUCCAGCCAACUUGACACAACUGUAGGAAGCAUUGGAGUCAACAUGAGCCAGCAUCCCUGUGGAACGCUUUCAACACCUUGAGUUCAUGACCCGACAAAUUGAAUCUGUUCUGAGGCAAAGGGGGGGUGCAACUCAGUAUUAGAUGCGAGGAGGAGAGAGAACCGGAGAAAGAGGAGGAGAAACAGCCCACAGGAGAAGAAAGGAAAGAAGAGGAAACAGGAACCCGUUCUGGCUAAGAAGAAGACUGCACUGAAAUCCCAGGAGUGUUUCAUGGCUCAGGAGAAGAAGGUUGAUGAGGGCGAGAAAAAGACCAAGAACAAUAGAUAGUCUUACCUAAGGAUGGAGGGGAUUGAAGAGACACCUGCUGUCCUAAAAAGGAACUGCAGUUAAAAGGUGCCUUAAUUCAACCACAUUGGUGUUAGAAGUGGGAAUUAAAUCUCUGUUUGUAUUCAGAAGAAGACGAUCACAGACGUCCUGGCCAUGACGGAACCCAAACCGGUCUCUCUAGGCGACCUGCAGAACCUGGUUCUAAAGCAUGGGGUGGCCAGGUAGCCUAGUGGUUAGAGCUUUGGACUAGUAACCAGAAAGUUGCAAGUUCAAAUCCCUGAGCUGACAAAGUACAAAUCUGUCAUUCUACCCCUGAACAGGCAGUUCACCCACUGUUCCUAGGCUGUCAUUGAAAAUAAGAAUUUGUUCUUUGUUCUUAACUGACUUGCCUAGUUAAAUAAAGGUAAAGAAAAGGAUGAGCUGGAGUAGUUUAAACUGCAGGGUGAGUCACCUGACCUCUGUAUUCUUUUACCAGCAUGUCUAAGGGCUGUCAGCCUUUCUGUCAGUCUCUCUAUUUCUUUCUCUCUCUCUCUCUUCUAUCUCUCCCUCUGUACCCCUUCUCUCCCUCUCACUCCCCCUCUCUCUCUUUCUCUCUCUCUCCCGCUCUUACUCACUCACUUUCCCUGAAUAGCGUAAUGUGACUUUUUUCUUUGGUUCCUGCUUCCUGACGAGUAAUGACCUCUGUUGGGGAAUAAUCAGAAUUGGUUGGUAACAUAGUUGGUAAAUAGAGGAAAUUUCCACGACACCUCACACACAGCCUCUCCUCCUACUUGAAAGAAAGUAGAGGAGGAGCUGAAGCUUGAGGUGACAUACAUUGGGGAGGGAACACCAGAGAGACUGAAAGCCCUCCUAGGGAAAGGUGGGCACUCAUUUACUCCCCCUCAGGGUUUUAACCCCAGUUUGGCCUUGCCAGCGCUGCGCUUCCUGCUUCUGGACUGGAUUUGGAGGGACCAGAAGCUUCGCAUGAUGGUGGACAUCCCUGAUGUCCAAACUGAUUUGCUGAAGCUGCUGAAUAUGGGCAUGUUGAAAGGCUGUAGAGAAGGAAAAGUCCAAUUGGGACCAUUCUGACACACAAACACACACCCAACCAUUUCGAACUGGACCUCUUCUGCUCUCACACAAACACACACACCACAGUUAUUGUAGUAAACAAAAACUGAAACAAAAAUUGGGAAAACAAACUGCAAAACAAACUAAAAUAAACUAAAAUAAAUAACAAUUAUUUAUGUUUUGUUUAAGUUUUUUAUUCUGAAGUUUGAGCAAAAAUCGAAUGUUUUUGUUGUUGUUGACAUUUAGUUUUGAUUUACAUUUGGUUGAGACUAAAGUGAUUUCAACGUGAAAUCAAUAACAAAUGUCACCAUGUCAUUGGAGUUCAGUAAAAGUUGGUGAAAAAAGAUGAAAUGCACUUACGCUAAUUCCAUUUUGCAAAUCCAAUCAGUUUUCACCUUGAUUCAACGUCAUCAUAUUGAUUUUUUGGGUUGAAAUGACGUGGAAACAAUGCUGAUUCAACCAGUUUUUGCCUAGUGGGUAGCAUGUGCAUCACUAUCACUAGCUAAUGUAGCACUAGCUAACAGGGAAGAAAUCAGAGGGCGAGCGAGGAGCGUGACUGGGGCAAGCUAGAACGUCUUGUGAAGUUGCUGGAGCCAUUCGCAAUCCACACAACCAACUUGCUGAUCAGUGACUGGGCCAAGCUAGAGCAACUUCAAACUGUCUGAUUUGGUGCCGUGUCUUCUCAACCUUGAGGCACAUUUGCAGUCAUCUACUGUGUCAAAACAGUUGGCACGGGUCCUCCUGAAGUCACUGUUUGAGCUCUUCGCAUGCAUACUGAAUCCUCUGGCAGGCAACUUCCAUCCAUCCCCUGCAUUAGCUUGCCUGAUAGACCCAUGUAUAUCUCUGGCACUUCGCUCUACACAGAUGGAGCCACUGAUGAGGGAAGCUGAGUCAUUUGUACUUCAACAAAUCAGAGAGUACAGCUGUGGAGCAGCAGGACCCCAAGGAAAAGGGAAAGGGGGAUACCUAGUCAGUCAACUAAAUGUAUUCAACUGAAAUGUGUCUUCUGCAUUUAACCCAACCCCUCUGAAUCAGAGAUGUGCGUGGGGCUGCCUUACUUGACAUCCAUGUCAUCAAAGAUGCCAGCACGACGAAUCCAGUAAACAUCUCGACCACAGUUCUUCAGAAAUAUAGCCUUGCAUCAAAGAUUGUGUCUGAGAUCACUGUCCAGCUGGAGGGUCAAUCUGGCAGGGCAUUAAGUGCCUGGUGUCAGCUGCGGAAAUACCUGAAGGAGA
Long non-coding RNA from Oncorhynchus masou masou (cherry salmon), 2786 nucleotides. RefSeq lists it as uncharacterized. NCBI's taxonomy places the organism in Eukaryota, Metazoa, Chordata, Actinopteri, Salmoniformes, Salmonidae. The record is from RefSeq and is a predicted model, not a curated record. The transcript has 8 exons.